Hyla sarda is the source of this 543-nucleotide long non-coding RNA. RefSeq lists it as uncharacterized. The record is from RefSeq and is a predicted model, not a curated record. The transcript is spliced from 5 exons. Lineage: Eukaryota; Metazoa; Chordata; Amphibia; Anura; Hylidae.
UUUUGCAACAGCUGGAGGCACCCUGCUUGGGAAACACUGCUUUAUGCAUUAAUCAAGUAUUUGCCUCUUGACAAAAAAAAGUUGUAAAAAAUUAUCUUAUGGAUCUAAGACACCUAUUUGGCCACCAGUGAGCUGCCAUAUUGGCUGUCGCCCGGCAGGACAGGAUACACUUGCAGCCAAUACCAGCUGUCACCUACCAGGACAUGUGACUGACAUUGGUUGCCACCCAGCUUUCCCAUGGACCUGAAUGAAAUAUCUGCCUAGUUAAGCAAUCAUUGUGUAAUUUGGAAGAUUCGCCCCCAACUUGCCCCUAUUGUGGAAGGAGUUAAUCCAGCAGUUCUUUAGCCCCUUAUUGCUGAACAUCUUUGUCACGUCGUAUGACGCGGAGCCGGCGGCAACAAUAAAGGAACCGUAUCGGGAGAGGACCAAGAGGUCAUUACCUUGAAGAUCUCCAGCUCAUCUGUUUAAGUUUUACAGCUUAUUCAUCAUCUUUAUCGGUCUACAACUUGACGUUCUUGAAGACACCGCCACCAUGAGACAACU